GAUGAACGCUGACGGCGUGCCUAAUACAUGCCAGUCGAGCGAACGGACGAGAAGCUUGCUUCUCUGAUGUUAGCGGCGGACGGGUGAGUAACACGUGGAUAACCUACCUAUAAGACUGGGAUAACUUCGGGAAACCGGAGCUAAUACCGGAUGAUAUUUUGAACCGCAUGGUUCAAAAGUGAAAGACGGUCUUGCUGUCACUUAUAGAUGGAUCCGCGCUGCAUUAGCUAGUUGGUAAGGUAACGGCUUACCAAGGCAACGAUGCAUAGCCGACCUGAGAGGGUGAUCGGCCACACUGGAACUGAGACACGGUCCAGACUCCUACGGGAGGCAGCAGUAGGGAAUCUUCCGCAAUGGGCGAAAGCCUGACGGAGCAACGCCGCGUGAGUGAUGAAGGUCUUCGGAUCGUAAAACUCUGUUAUUAGGGAAGAACAUAUGUGUAAGUAACUGUGCACAUCUUGACGGUACCUAAUCAGAAAGCCACGGCUAACUACGUG
This 497-nucleotide ribosomal RNA is filed under the name uncultured bacterium. RNAcentral's name for it is "partial 16S ribosomal RNA". It matches the Rfam family "Bacterial small subunit ribosomal RNA", at positions 28 to 507 of the family's 1533-position model. The record is from RNAcentral.